Physcomitrium patens is the source of this 2399-nucleotide non-coding RNA. The record is from RefSeq and is a predicted model, not a curated record. NCBI's taxonomy places the organism in Eukaryota, Viridiplantae, Streptophyta, Bryopsida, Funariales, Funariaceae.
GUCGCUGCGUGUGUGUGUGUGAGAGAACUUUUGAUGAUCGCCCUACUAACAAUUGCAUGCAGGGCUAUUCUCUGUGAGAUCUCUCUUCUUCCAACUGUAUCCUCACGUACACACACAUUAUCUUCUGUCUGGCACUGCUUGCCCUCCUUACCCUCCUUUUCUUUGAACCUCCUACCUCUGUUGGAUCAUUCCCUCCUCCUUCGUCCUGCCCCUCUGAGUUGAGGAUUUAUCUCUACGGUGGUCAUGUCCUCCUUGCCUCGUUCGUCCUGUUGAUCGCCCCCUGGUCGUCCCUCGCCGCUCCCUGCUUCCGACCCCUUCCACCUCUCUCUCGCCCAUUUUUCCACCAUGGGCGCCGUUUUUGCCAGUUUGUUUAAUGGCUCAGUGGAGGCGCCAUUCCAAGGGGCGCAGAUCAUCAAAGUUCCAGCGGCUCAUCAUGAAUUCGGAGCAAACCUUAUCGACCAACGGGUUAUACUCUUGCCUUUCCUCUGUUGCUCUUCUCGAUGCCUGCAACAACCAAUUCACCUUUUCGUACUUAUAUCCUGGGAAUUAUGUUCGAUGAGAUUGGUGGCUUAAAACGUAUCCGUCCGUUGUUGACCACAUCAAGUGGCCUGUAGUUGAUGGUGUUGAGACUUAUGUGACCUCAGAUGAUGAUGCUUAUUGGAAGUAUUUUGUAGGACGGUCGUAUGAGCGUUCGAAUGAAGUAUCAAGUAUGACUUCACCGAUAGAUUCUCAAUAAAAGUGAAUGCAAAGCUUACAAAUGAACUGCACUUUUCACAAGGAAUGUUCCAUUUUGACUACAAGAUUGGUUCCAUUACCUUACAUCGUUUUGCGCCAUGUCGUCGACCUGGUUUCUGGAGAAAGUGAAGUUGCUUUUUGGUGGACGAGGCCACUGUAUCAUAGUAUAACGCCAACAGCGGCUCUAGGAGGUGAAGUGUUUCGGUUGAGCCAUCAGUAGAAGUUGGCCAUUUGGAUUUGCUGGCUGAUACAACACAGACAAAGUGGGCAAUUUGCAAGCACUGCCAUUGUUUUGUUGACCUAUGUUCAACAAGUGUCAAACAAGGAGGCGACCACUGGUAUUGGAUACGACUGCCUCCUUUGUCAGGUGAGAUGCUUUUUAACAUAUUUGUCUAUGAUAUGGGCUGUAUCAUUUAGACGGUGUAUGGAAAGCAGAAGCAGAGUGUGGCACCCAGUUGCUGUUGAUCUUCUGUGGCCAUUUUGCAUGGGAACACCCGUCAAAAAGCAAAAAUUCAUCCCAAACCUAGUCACUCGCAAAUUUUGUUUUUGUUUCCAUAUUUUAUAAUUUCUGAAUUUUUAUGAUGUUGUCAAACAUAGCGUGCAUGUUCGAGUUCCAGUGAAAUUUCGCAACUUCAAGGGGUUUUUUUUUUAAUUUAGAAAGAAGAAAAAAAAAGAAUCUUUUGCUCAGAACCGAAUCGCUUGUACUGGCGAGGUAGCUUUAGCUGCAGCUCUAAGCCUGACCAAAGAGAAAGCUGGGCAAAUUCCAAUAGCGUCAUCUAUUAUCUGAUUCUCUUUCUGGUGUCCGUUAAGCCGGAGCUAUUCGAAGGAGUCGUUGAUUGAGGUAGGGAGCAAGAAAGGGGGCUUCUAUGAGGAGGCGGGAAGAGAGCGUUUUGAGCGAAUCUGCGAGGAUUGAGCUUGAAACCGACGUCGCCGCUAGGGGCUGGGGAUCGUCGAUGGAAUCACCGACAUUUUUUGAUGCGCUAUUCAACAAGUUUUUGCCAUCAAACAACGAGGACGAUGAGGCGUGGUCGGUGGUGCACAUGUAUGGGUGCGAUUAGUUCCGGAUGUUUGAAUUCAAGGUGAGGCGAUGCAUGAGGGAGACAAGCCACGAUUGGACGGAUUGCCCGUUUGCCCAACCAGGCGAGAAAGUUAGGCGUCACGAUCUGCAACGGCACCAUUACUCGAGGAUGGCAUGUCCGGACUUUCGGAAGGAGAGCUGUCGAAGAGGCAAUGCAUGCGAGUUGGCGCACGGAGUGUUUGAAUGUUGGAUGCAUCCGGCUCGGUAUCAGACACAACCGUACAAGGAUGGGCGGAAUUGCCCUCGUCCGGUGUAUUUUUUCAUGCACACGCCAGAGCAAUUACGACUGCUGCCCGCGACGGCAUAAGCAACGACUAUGGGAGGUCGGAGUGGAGGGGGUUACGACGAGUCGCCGCAAGCUAGUGUAGCGGUGAACUACGACGGGGUGUUUGGGUACGAGAGCUUGUCUUACGACGGAGCAUCGGGAGGUCACAAUUGAGCCAUUUGUCGGGGUACUCGAGCUUGGCCCACUUCAGUGCAGGGUGUACACAGCAACUAUCAAAGCAUUGAAAUAAGAUCCAAUUGUUAUAUAAAUCCAAAAGAAAAAUAAAAUAAAAAUACCUACUAAAACCAUUUUUAUAGUUAA